Molecule: ribosomal RNA, 497 nt
Filed under: uncultured bacterium
Lineage: Bacteria
Description: partial 16S ribosomal RNA
Rfam family: Bacterial small subunit ribosomal RNA
Source: RNAcentral
GAUGAACGCUGGCGGCGUGCCUAAUACAUGCAAGUCGAGCGAACAGACGAGGAGCUUGCUCCUCUGACGUUAGCGGCGGACGGGUGAGUAACACGUGGAUAACCUACCUAUAAGACUGGGAUAACUUCGGGAAACCGGAGCUAAUACCGGAUAAUAUAUUGAACCGCAUGGUUCAAUAGUGAAAGACGGUUUUGCUGUCACUUAUAGAUGGAUCCGCGCCGCAUUAGCUAGUUGGUAAGGUAACGGCUUACCAAGGCAACGAUGCGUAGCCGACCUGAGAGGGUGAUCGGCCACACUGGAACUGAGACACGGUCCAGCCUCCUACGGGAGGCAGCAGUAGGGAAUCUUCCGCAAUGGGCGAAAGCUUGACGGAGCAACGCCGCGUGAGUGAUGAAGGUCUUCGGAUCGUAAAACUCUGUUAUUAGGGAAGAACAAAUGUGUAAGUAACUAUGCACGUCUUGACGGUACCUAAUCAGAAAGCCACGGCUAACUACGUG